RNAcentral lists this ribosomal RNA (161 nucleotides) under Selenoteuthis scintillans. RNAcentral describes it as "partial small subunit ribosomal RNA". Lineage: Eukaryota; Metazoa; Mollusca; Cephalopoda; Oegopsida; Lycoteuthidae. The record is from RNAcentral.
UGAGACCGAUGCGCGAUUUCCGUCCUCCCGUUUCGGGUUUCGGCUCGUUUCGGGACCAAAGGUCGGCGCGCUCCGCUUUGGUGACUCUGGAUAACUCACUGGUCGAUCGCACGGGCUUCCACGCCCGGCGACGGGUCCCUCGAGGGUCCGCCCUAUCAACU